GUGCUUGCUUCAGCAGCACAUAUACUAAAAUUGAAAUGAUACAGAGAAGAUUAGCACAGUCCCUGAGCAAGGAUGACAUGCAAACGAAAAUUUAAAAAUAAAA
Molecule: small nuclear RNA, 103 nt
Organism: Symphalangus syndactylus (siamang)
Lineage: Eukaryota; Metazoa; Chordata; Mammalia; Primates; Hylobatidae
Source: RefSeq, a predicted model, not a curated record